Non-coding RNA from Cladorrhinum samala, 99 nucleotides. The record is from the annotation of a GenBank genome assembly. Lineage: Eukaryota; Fungi; Ascomycota; Sordariomycetes; Sordariales; Podosporaceae.
GGGCGUGUGGCUCAGUUGGUAGAGCGCCCGCUUAGCAAGGCUUCUAGCUUGGAAGCUCAAGCAUGCGGAAGGUCCCCGGUUCGAUUCCGGGCUCGUCCA